Molecule: long non-coding RNA, 818 nt
Filed under: Zostera marina
Lineage: Eukaryota; Viridiplantae; Streptophyta; Magnoliopsida; Alismatales; Zosteraceae
Description: long non-coding RNA (ZMAR_LNC002430)
Source: RNAcentral
UCCCCGAUCAAAAUGAUCGGGGACGGGGAACACAAUCCCUGCCUCGUCCCCGUACCCGCUCACCCCUAGCAGCAACAGGUGAAACCUUGAAGGAGUCCGUGCCAUCGAUGUCGUGGAAUUGGGAUCUCACGGUCGUUCUCACUUCUGGAUGCCAUACCGAAAAAUUUGGAAAUCCUUCUCGUCAACGCACAUAUUCCCAUGGCUAGCGGCAAACUACUCAUAGGGGCAUGGGCUUCGACGCGCCUUACCGCUUGUGUCGGAUACGUACGGUGUGAGAAUGUCAACAUCGGACACCCCGGUCAUACUCCGGACGUACACUGGUCGUCCUCCGACACGACACCUGGAGUCCUACACGCCGUCCGAAAAUCAACGAUGUAGACAAUUAAGGUAUGUCCGAGCUCCUUUCCAUCAGACGAGCCAUACUUCUCGAUGAUCGCCAGACUACCGACCUAUGCACGCGACGAUCGAUGACAGCCGAUUCCAUCAUCAAACUCGGUAUGGGUCUUCCUCUAUUUAAACAAUCGCUUGAGCAAUACAUUUCUUCAUAGAUUCAGCGAACGAUCUUCACAAUCAUCUUCACCUGACACGUACAACAUCAUCUCAAGGUUCGUAACUUCAAAAAAUUUCUUCUACGGUGGUUCUUCUCAUACAUGGUUUUAGUUCCUUACCUGAUGGCAUGUCGCACGGAACUCACUCAUGUCGUUCCAAAACGGACCCUAUUUUAUAUUAAUGUAAAUUAUUAUUUGGAUUUUUUACAUUAUUGAGAUUUGAAACAGACUCUAAAUUCCUAAUAUUUAAUAAAAAUUUAAAAUAAUCCC